AUGCUAAUCGUGCCUUAUGCAUAUUCAUCUAGGUCGUAUAAAGUUGACUGGGGGAAACUUGGCUGGUUUUUGUUGCAGUGUUUAUAAUAAUAAUAUAUUACUGUAAGUAGCAAAGUCAUGAAAUAACAGAUGUCAUUAAUAAAGAGAAUAUUUUGCUGAUAACAAUAACUUUAUUUUCAUACGGGGCGUGGUCAGUUUGCAAACACAACACCACUUGCUCGUGUCUUCUGCCUCAGCUCUGACUUUGACAACAGGCCGGGGUUUUUACACAAGAUCAACUAAUUAGUAGCAUAUUUCAGUGAAACGCUGCGGUUCAUUUUGGGCUUGAGGUACAUUGUUAGCGUUGAUAGUACUGGCUUGCAUUGAAUAACAAUGGAAACGCGAGUAGCAUGGACAAGAUGGACAACAAUCAACCGCCAAAUGUACAACCGGUACCAAGACAUGACGUGCAUAAUUAAUGACUGGAUACUCCUUGAUGUCCCACUUUAUACAUGCCCAUAAGGAUUAUGCUACAGAGGCAUACAGUAGCUAACUGCCACCAGCUGAGGACUGCCUGGUUAAACUUGCUGAAGAAAAGAUAGAAGAUGAGAAGCUGUUUCUCCAGUGUUGUGCUGGUGGAUGCACCAAUAUGCUGUUUAUAGAUCUGCUGUGGUGUGUUAACAUUGCUGUGUUGAAGCCAUUGACAUAAAGUUUAAGUUCUUGAGAGGUCAUUUAAAUCUGAGAUUUGAAAUAACUGAUUUGAACAUGUUCAAGUAUUUCUUUUUUCGUGUAUUUCUCUCACUCUGACCAUCUCUUUCUCUUAAUUUUGUGAAGCCUGUAGUAGUUCUAUGGCAGUUGUUUGUUUUCUGUGAGUGCUUUGUUAACUAAAAUUGUAUAAAACAGAUUGUCUACCCCUGAAA
Long non-coding RNA from Paramisgurnus dabryanus, 899 nucleotides. RefSeq lists it as uncharacterized. NCBI's taxonomy places the organism in Eukaryota, Metazoa, Chordata, Actinopteri, Cypriniformes, Cobitidae. The record is from RefSeq and is a predicted model, not a curated record.